UUGUGUAAAAGACACAGCUGCGGUUCUGAGCGCGCUGUCCGCGCCCACCUGACAGCUGCUCGCGACGUUGUGUUAGCC
Molecule: small RNA, 78 nt
Filed under: Xanthomonas oryzae pv. oryzae
Lineage: Bacteria; Pseudomonadati; Pseudomonadota; Gammaproteobacteria; Lysobacterales; Lysobacteraceae
Description: sX9
Rfam family: Xanthomonas sRNA sX9
Source: RNAcentral